UACGUAUGGCGCAAGCGUUAUCCGGAUUUACUGGGCGUAAAGGGAGCGCAGGCGGCGCGCCAAGUCUGAUGUGAAACCCCGGGGCUCAACCCCGGGCAUGCAUUGGAAACUGGCGGGCUGGAGUGCCGGAGAGGUAAGCGGAAUUCCUAGUGUAGCGGUGAAAUGCGUAGAUAUUAGGAGGAACACCAGUGGCGAAGGCGGCUUACUGGACGGCAACUGACGCUGAGGCUCGAAAGCGUGGGGAGCAAACAGG
Molecule: ribosomal RNA, 253 nt
Filed under: uncultured bacterium
Lineage: Bacteria
Description: partial 16S ribosomal RNA
Rfam family: Bacterial small subunit ribosomal RNA
Source: RNAcentral